Molecule: long non-coding RNA, 393 nt
Filed under: Setaria italica (foxtail millet)
Lineage: Eukaryota; Viridiplantae; Streptophyta; Magnoliopsida; Poales; Poaceae
Description: long non-coding RNA (SITA_LNC004150)
Source: RNAcentral
CGACCUUGAUCCAUGUCCGGUGGAGGUCGCUCUCGUCGACGCCCUUGACCACCUCCUCCACGAAGUAGUGCGUGGGGUUGAAGUUCAUGUGCGGGCCGCGGGGGCUGGUGGCCCCCGUCGGCGACGCCCCCGCCGCCAGCGACUUCGGGUCCCCGCCGCCGCCUCCCACUCCCACUCCCCCUCCCCCUCCUCCUCCUCCGCCGCUGCCUCCCGCCGCGGUGCGGCUGUCCAGGAUCGCCUCCAGGUACCCAUUGAUCCACUCAUUCCCCGCCAUCCCCUACUUCUCGCUCUCUCCUCCGCCUCUACGCCGCUCUCUCAGAUCACUACAGGAGCAUUAACCCAACCGCCCACGCCUCUCUCCCUCCCACUUUUGCGUCUCGCGUGAACCCUUCC